This 262-nucleotide ribosomal RNA is filed under the name uncultured bacterium. RNAcentral's name for it is "partial 16S ribosomal RNA". It matches the Rfam family "Bacterial small subunit ribosomal RNA", at positions 28 to 290 of the family's 1533-position model. The record is from RNAcentral.
GACGAACGCUGGCGGCGCGCUUAACACAUGCAAGUCGAGCGGUAAGGCCCUUUCGGGGGUACGACGAGCGGCGAACGGGUGAGUAACACGUGGGUGACCUGCCCUCAGCUCUGGGAUAAGCCUGGGAAACCGGGGUCUAAUACCGGAUAUGACUCCAUGACGCAUGUUGUGGGGUGGAAAGCCUUGUGCGGCUGAGGAUGGGCCUGCGGCCUAUCAGCUUGUUGGUGGGGGAUGGCCUACCAAGGCGACGACGGGUAGCCGG